Molecule: ribosomal RNA, 492 nt
Filed under: uncultured bacterium
Lineage: Bacteria
Description: partial 16S ribosomal RNA
Rfam family: Bacterial small subunit ribosomal RNA
Source: RNAcentral
AGUGAACGCUGGCGGUAGGCCUAACACAUGCAAGUCGAACGGCAGCACAGUAAGAGCUUGCUCUUACGGGUGGCGAGUGGCGGACGGGUGAGGAAUACAUCGGAAUCUACUUUUUCGUGGGGGAUAACGUAGGGAAACUUACGAUAAUACCGCAUACGACCGACGGGUGAAAGCAGGGGAUCAUCGGACCUUGCGCGAUUGAAUGAGCCGAUGUCGGAUUAGCUAGUUGGCGGGGUAAAGGCCCACCAAGGCGACGAUCCGUAGCUGGUCUGAGAGGAUGAUCAGCCACACUGGAACUGAGACACGGUCCAGACUCCUACGGGAGGCAGCAGUGGGGAAUAUUGGACAAUGGGCGCAAGCCUGAUCCAGCCAUACCGCGUGGGUGAAGAAGGCCUUCGGGUUGUAAAGCCCUUUUGUUGGGAAAGAAAAGCAGCAGGUUAAUACCCCGCUGUUCUGACGGUACCCAAAGAAUAAGCACCGGCUAACUUCGUG